CAUGUAUAAGAGGUCCAGCUGCCAGUGACUAUAUGUUCAACGGCCGCGGUAUUCUGACCGUGCAAAGGUAGCGUAAUCACUUGUCUUUUAAAUAAAGACUGGUAUGAACGGCACCACGAAGGUUCAACUGUCUCCUGCAUCCAAUCCAUUAAACUGACUCUCCCGUGCGACAGAGSGCGGGGAUAUAACCAUAAGACGAGAAGACCCUAUGGAGCUUUAAACUAAAGGCAACUGGCAAACAUUCAACCCACAAGGGAUUAACAAUAAAACAAGCAGAAAUUGACCUAAAGUUUUCGGUUGGGGCGACCAUGGAGAAUAAAAAAUCCUCCUUGAAGAAUAGGGCUUACAAACCUUAACCAAGAACCACUAUUCUAAGUAACAAAAUUUAUGACUGCAAUUGAUCCAGUCCUACUGAUCAACGAACCAAGUUACCCUAGGGAUAACAGCGCAAUCCAUUUCAAAAGUUCCUAUCGCUGGGUUUACGACCUCG
This 490-nucleotide ribosomal RNA is filed under the name Xenopus ruwenzoriensis (Uganda clawed frog). RNAcentral's name for it is "partial 16S ribosomal RNA". It matches the Rfam family "Bacterial large subunit ribosomal RNA", at positions 1840 to 2528 of the family's 2925-position model. Lineage: Eukaryota; Metazoa; Chordata; Amphibia; Anura; Pipidae. The record is from RNAcentral.